ACAUAGCCAUAUAAGCUAUAUAUAUCAUGAAAACGCGGUUACCAAUGACGAAAACCAGAUAUGUUAUUGGAAUUUGUGGAAGCACUUGAUCUGAGUUGGCUAUCCAUACUUACCAGUGCCGACAGUGAGACUUUUACUAAUGAUUCCUGCUGUACCUAAGAGUCUCUUAGCUACAAUGAACAUCCAUCAUUGGUCGGGGUUGGUGUAGUAGUAGCUGAUCUAUAGGCUCCUAAUUACUCAUUGUCCCCUGUUGUAUCCUAAGAGAAGGAUGCAUUGGUGCUAUGAAAGAACAAUGAAUAUCCAUCAUUGGUUUGGCAAGAUUACAUAUGCAAAUUGGAGAUAUGCUUACACUAUGGUAUUCUGUAUGGUGGUUCGUGACAAUAAUGGUACGAGUAUCGUAAUGGAACUUCAUUUUUGAUAUGUGAUUUUGAAAAAUGUAUGUAUAGUUAUACUAAUCUAAUCAUCUGGAUCAAUGAAAACCUUAUAGA
Molecule: long non-coding RNA, 488 nt
Organism: Erigeron canadensis
Lineage: Eukaryota; Viridiplantae; Streptophyta; Magnoliopsida; Asterales; Asteraceae
Exons: 3
Source: RefSeq, a predicted model, not a curated record